Molecule: ribosomal RNA, 760 nt
Filed under: Echinorhynchus gadi
Lineage: Eukaryota; Metazoa; Acanthocephala; Palaeacanthocephala; Echinorhynchida; Echinorhynchidae
Description: SSU rRNA
Source: RNAcentral
UAGCGAUGCCGCGAUCAUUUGAUUCGGCAGUUGAAAUGAGAACAAUGAAAGAAUUUUAUCGAGAAUCUAUUGGAGGGCAAGUUCUGGUGCCAGCAGCCGCGGUAAUUCCAGCUCGAAAAGCGUAUGUUAAAGUUGCUGCGGUUAAAACGCUYGUCGUUGGACAUCAGGAGAUGGAUCGUGGACAACCUAGAGUUGCUACUACGGUUUCACUCCUUUUUUAUGCCAGUUCAUCGAUGAUGUACUUGAAUGUGUGUCACGGUAGAAGGUCAAUGUCACUUUGAGAAAAUUAGUGUGCUCAACGCAGGCUUUACGCUUGUAUAAUGCUGCAUGGGAUGACGGAAUAGGGCCUCGGUUCCGUUUCGUUGGUUUACGAAAGCAGAGGUCAUGAUUAAUCGGGACAGACGGGGGCAUUCGUAUUGCGAUGCUAGAAGUGAAAUUCUGUGACCAUCGCAAGACGGACAACUGCGAAAGCAUUUGCCAAGAAUGUUUUCAUUAAUCAAGAACGAAAGUUAGAGGAUCGAAGACGAUUAGAUACCGUCCUAGUUCUAACUGUAAACUAUGCCGACCGGGGAUUCGCCAAUGCAAUAUUGCUUGGCGAGCACCCUCCGGGAAACCAAAGUGAUUGGGUUCCGGGGGGAGUAUGGUUGCAAAAUCGAAACUUAAAGGAAUUGACGGAGGGGCACACCAGAAGUGGAGCCUGCGGCUCAAUUUGACUCAACGCACGAAAGCUUACUCGGUCCGAACACCGUGAGGAUUGACA